RNAcentral lists this ribosomal RNA (497 nucleotides) under uncultured bacterium. RNAcentral describes it as "partial 16S ribosomal RNA". It matches the Rfam family "Bacterial small subunit ribosomal RNA", at positions 29 to 507 of the family's 1533-position model. The record is from RNAcentral.
AGUGAACGCUGGCGGUAGGCCUAACACAUGCAAGUCGAACGGCAGCACAGUAAGCGCUCGCUCCUACGGUUGGCGAGUGGCGGACGGGUGAGGCAUGCAUCGGAAUCUUCUUUUACUGGGGUAAUAACGGAGGGAAACUGACGCUAACAGCGCAUAUGACCUACGGGAGAAAGCAAAGGAGCUACGCGCCUUGCCCGACUGAAUGAGCCGAAUCCGGGUUGCAUUGGCUAGUUGGUAAGGUAACGGCACACCAAGGCAACGAUGCAUAGCCGAUCUGAGAGGGUGAUCGGCCACACUGGAACUGAGACACGGUCCAGACUCCUACGGGAGGCAGCAGUGGGGAAUCUUGGACAAUGGGCGCAAGCCUGAUCCAGCAAUACCGCGUGAGUGAUGAAGGCCUUCGGGUUGUAAAGCCCUUUUGUUGGGAAAGAAAAGAAGCAGGUUAAUACGUCGAUGUUUUGACGGUACCCAAAGAAUAAGCACCGGCUAACUUCGUG